Molecule: ribosomal RNA, 429 nt
Filed under: Verrucomicrobiota bacterium
Lineage: Bacteria; Pseudomonadati; Verrucomicrobiota
Description: Verrucomicrobia bacterium partial 16S ribosomal RNA
Rfam family: Bacterial small subunit ribosomal RNA
Source: RNAcentral
UAGGGAAUCUUCCGCAAUGGACGAAAGUCUGACGGAGCAACGCCGCGUGAGUGAAGAAGGAUUUCGGUUCGUAAAACUCUGUUGUUAGGGAAGAAAAAAUGUAUAGUAACUAUAUACAAAAGAGACGGUACCUAACCAGAAAGCCACGGCUAACUACGUGCCAGCAGCCGCGGUAAUACGUAGGUGGCAAGCGUUGUCCGGAAUUAUUGGGCGUAAAGCGCGCGCAGGUGGUUUAGAAAGUCUGAUGUGAAAGCCCACGGCUCAACCGGGGAAGGUCAUUGGAAACUAAUCAACUUGAGUGCAGGAGAGAAAAGUGGCAUUCCUAGUGUAGCGGUGAAAUGCGUAGAGAUUAGGAGGGACCCCGGUGGCCAAAGCGGGUUUUUGGCCUGCAACUGACACUGAGGCGCGGAAGCGUGGGGAGCAAACAGG